ACGGGAGGCAGCAGUGGGGAAUAUUGGACAAUGGGGGGAACCCUGAUCCAGCGACGCCGCGUGAGUGAAGAAGUAUUUCGGUAUGUAAAGCUCUAUCAGCAGGGACGAAAAUGACGGUACCUGACUAAGAAGCCCCGGCUAACUACGUGCCAGCAGCCGCGGUAAUACGUAGGGGGCAAGCGUUAUCCGGAUUUACUGGGUGUAAAGGGAGCGUAGACGGUAGUGCAAGUCUGAAGUGAAAGCUCGCAGCUUAACGGCGGAACUGCUUUGGAAACUGUACAACUAGAGUACCGGAGGGGUAAGCGGAAUUCCUAGUGUAGCGGUGAAAUGCGUAGAUAUUAGGAAGAACACCGGUGGCGAAGGCGGCUUACUGGACGGUAACUGACGUUGAGGCUCGAAAGCGUGGGGAGCAAACAGGAUUAGAUACCCUGGUA
Molecule: ribosomal RNA, 434 nt
Filed under: uncultured Lachnospiraceae bacterium
Lineage: Bacteria; Bacillati; Bacillota; Clostridia; Lachnospirales; Lachnospiraceae
Description: partial 16S ribosomal RNA
Rfam family: Bacterial small subunit ribosomal RNA
Source: RNAcentral